CGAUAUAUCGAUCUUUGACAACAGAAGCCACCGUACACAGACCAGACCAACAGACCGCCAUUUAUUGUUAUUUUUUCAGCUACUCUCGCAAUUUGGCGAUUUUAGUGUUAGACAAGUGUUACCCGAAUUUAUAGAAUACAAAGAUUCAUUAGCAACUUACUGGAGCUAAGAGAAAGCCUGCGUUGCUUCUCCCAAAAUUUCAUUUGCGACUUGGUCUUCGUUGGAGGUUUAAAACCAUUUAACACGACGUCGUGUAGGUCGCCGUCAAAGAUUGUGAAGUCUUUUGGCGGACGCCACCGAGGUCUGCUUUGCUAUUGGAUUUCGCAUGGAGCGGAUCGUGCAUCGAUGUUGCGAUACCGUUUUCAUCGUUCAAGUCGUCACGUUGCUGACAUGAUCAUCACAUUCAAAGCAGAGACUGCUAUCUUGUUCAUCACUUGAGCACUGUGUGUAGUCUGAUGCCAGAUCACAGGAAUGGAUGUAAAUGAGUUUAGUAUAAGGGGAGAUGUGGACUGUAGAAAGCCACGACUUGUACAUACCAGUGAAUCGUCCAAUCACAAUGGACAUGUCAGCACAAUAAAUCUAUCCUAUCAGAUUGUUUUACAAGACCACAACUAUGGAGCCCCUCUACCCUCACACAACAAUGAAUCCCCUUUGUAUGCUGUCCAGUGUAAGCAAGAACCAUCUGAUUCCCAUACAUCCAGUGUUUUCCCUGUUUCACAUUCUCAGCGAGGAGGCAUUAAAACCCUCAAUCCCAGACCACCUUCCAUUAGCCCCCAGACAGGACGUGCAAAUAAACCAAAUGGUGUUAAUUCUGCAUCAACAAAACGACAAAGGACAAUCAGUGGUAAUAGCAAUGGAAUUGGACCUAAUUCUAACGUCAUCUCUCCCAAUCUGGCUGGGUCCCGACGGCCGGGAAUACACGAGACUCAUAAGAGCCACAAUAAUCUGCCAACCCCUCCAUUGGUGCCCAAAGGUUCUCCUGGAUUUCCCCCCUAUGCGGGCGAUUUAAACUCUCACCUCUACGCAUCAAUUUCAAGUGAAAAGACUUCCAUUAAGGAAGAAUCCAGAGGUCCGGCAAUCACCAACGGUUCGUCAGGCCUUUCCAACUAUUUAAGUGGUUGGUACCGGGGUAGUGGCGGGAACAAUACUGAGCGAGUGCGAUCGCGGUCGGACAUGCGCGACAGCUUCAACGAUGAUGAUUCCAACGAUGGCAGCUUAGGUAACAGCCCGCGCAUGGCCACCGAGACGGACCAUGAAGGCGAAGAAACUGAAACGGCAAAUGAGUGUGAGGAUGAAGAGGACGAACAGGAUGAUGUCGAUCUCGGUCUUCUUGGCGGAGGACGUGAUUUGACCAACGUUGAUGAAAGCGUUACACGCUGUAUUUGCAAAUUCGGACACGAUGAUGGUUAUAUGAUUUGUUGUGACAGAUGCUCUGUAUGGCAACAUGUCGAUUGCAUGAAUUUGGACCGUAAUAACAUACCCGAUGAGUUUCUGUGCGAGCUGUGCCAGCCACGUCGAGUCGAUCGGGCUAGAGCUCGUGCCAUACAAUAUCGUAAGCGUCAGGAAUUUCGCCUCGCCACCCCUCCUCCGUCAAGUAGCCUCGAUCGCGCGUUGGUGACCCGCAGAGAGAGAAGCAAGGACAGGACCAAAAAUGAUGAUUACAUUGACGUCGAAAAAACUUCCAAAAAGUUUCAAAAGAAUUCCACCAUCAACAAUACUGGGUCAAAGUAUACGCGGGGUGGUGCCAAAGGUGGAAGCGCUACAGCUGAUAGAAAUGAAAAAUUUCAGCGUGCUGGUAAGCGAGUCGGACAACCAAAAUGGAGAAGGAAGGGAAAUGAGAAGCAGGAAGAAUCCGCACCGCGAAAGAGAAAGAUGUUCCGAACUAAAUCUUCAUCGGACGUGAUCGAUGUUGGAGGUCCCUCGUCCUCGACUACCGAGAACAGUCCAUCAGGAGGUAGAAAUCAUCCCAGUGGUGAACUCUUACUGCAAUGGAUUGACCAUUAUGAAGAAGCGGUCACCAACCACUAUUCGCCCGAGUUGAGAGCUCGUGUAGCAGCCGUCCGACCAAAUGGAUUCGGUGGCGAACUGCUUUCUCCGCCUUCUUCAACGCCUGUUUACCGCCUCGCAAGUAAAGCUGGAGGUUACAAGACGUUAGUCGCCGCAAACCCGAUUCGCUGCGGGUCGCCUGUAAUCGAAUGUCGUGGAAAAUAUAUGCUGGCCAGCCAGCUGAGGCCGUACAAAUCGGGAGAUGGUCCUGGACUUAGUGGAUCCGGCGCGUCAGCUCUCCGCCCGACGCCUCAUAUCAUCUUCCACCACCUCUUAGCCAGUAGCACUGACAAUACCACACCUGCUGUAGAGAUGUGUGUUGAUGGCCGCAGUUACGGCAAUGAGGCUCGGUUUGUCUGGCAGUCCUGUCAGCCUAAUGCCGAGAUAAAGCACAAGGUUGAAAAAGGUUCUGUCCAUUUGUUUCUGGUAGCCAAGACUGAUAUCCUUGAAAGCGAGGAGAUCACUGUAGUGCACGAUGUCAAAAAUCCACUGCCUUGUCCGUACGAAGGUUGCCCGCACAUGAGGAAUAAGGACAGUGGAGCUCGAACUGGAUUAAGCCAAGCUACCAACCCAUUAUCAGUUCUCUCUCCAGUGGAAGCCGACCGUAAGCGCCGAAGGAGGAGAACAGAUUCGACAGCAAAUGAUCCUUCUUCCAGUGCCGCUAUUGGUGCGGUGAAUGUGACACCGGAAUCGUCGAUAGCGACACCGGUAGCUUCUGUCCCCAAUGCCCAGACUUCAGUACCAGCACCUCCACCUAUGCCGUGCGCCCUUCCACCAACGCCCGUCAAGCGCCAACAGCGUACUCCUUCCAAGGUUUCAGUCGUCGUUACAGAGGGUGAAGAUUCUCAAGAUGAUAGUAUAAACCCACAUGACGAGACAGACGGACAAGGCUCUAUGGACAACGAAUCUUCAUCUAAAAAGAAGCCAUUGUCACGCGAGGAAAGGAAGAUGGAAGCCAUUAUGAAAGCCUUUGAAAGAAUGGAAAAGGCCCAACAACGACGCCAAGAAUCGAUAGCCAAAACAACGCAUCGCAAAGAUCCUAGGGAUGACAAAGAUGAGCCAGGUGAUGAAGUAGACUCUCCACCUCCUUCCCAUGGAUCGGGAAACACUGGGGUUAUAGAGAAGCGUGUUAUGGUGGUACAAGAAGCCAGAAAUAAAACUUUCCGCAGAGGGCUUUGCAGGAAGCGAGGUGGUCGCAUGCGGAGAUCCAGUAGUGGAGCGAGUGUCAACGAGAGUUCACGUAUACGUAUGCGGGCAUUAUCCGGUGAGGUUCAUUCGGGGCAUUCGGCGACUGAAGAAGAAUCUGAGCAUGGUGGUAGCAGCAGUAGUCCCGGUCAACCCAAUCCAGGCACACCUAGCGAUGAUCCUUCUACUAUGGCAUUUAAAUGUCCUAAAACAAAGAAGGUGGUUUUCAAUAAUUGGAGUGGGGACGGAAGCGAGCUGAAUGGGAACAAAGGAGAUUCCAAUGACCUGCUGGGCGGUUCAAAUUCUCUCUCCCUUUCUGUGCCAGUAUGUUACAUGAGGAACCCCAACCCGCGAAGUCCAACCCGGCCUUUGCGGACAGCCCACCUGCGGUAUGGCGCGACGACAACCCAACAAUCUGCAUCAGACUCGAAACCUUCCUACAACAUGAUUUUGAAUGGUUGCAGGCCUUCUACCCUGGCUUCGUUGAAAUCCUCUGCGGGUUCGGCUUCUCCCGAUCCACACGGAGAGGGAGGACACUCCAACGAUGAAAAUUCCUGGACAGCGCCUUUACCUGGCAGUGGUGGGCCCGGCGGUUCGGCCAAAAAGCGCUGGUUGAGACAGGCCAUCAGUGAAGAAACCGAAACCGAGUCGCCAACCAGUGGCGGUUGUUUAGGUAUUGGUGGCUUCGGAUCAGGUGGUACUGUGCCAGCCAAUGAAGUGUUGGAUCACGUUACUCCUCUCAAAAAGAGGCGUUUAGCUAGAGCAUCUCUGUCAUCUGAGACGUCGUUCACGCCACCAUCGACACCUACACCAUCCAACGUUGGUGUCACCGGAUCGAGUGAAAAUGUUUCCAACGAAUCGGGAUUACAGCCGUUGAUGGAAAAGGAAGCGGAAUCCCUUUCAGCUGAAAAUAGUCGAGGAACUCCACCAGAGUUUGACGAUGGAUUAAGCGAAGGGAAUCAGGCGCAACAGCAACAAUCUGGUGGCCAUUCAAACGAAGCUUCUGAUCCACCCACUCCGCCACUACCGCCUGCGAUAGAAAUGGCGAAAGCCAUCGUUGGUUUGAGUUCGCCAACGAACGGUUACGUUAGUGAGUCUUCUCAGCAGAUCUGGGCAUCGCAGUCUGAGGAACAUGUACAAGUACCACCCGAGGCAAAUGUCGUUGCGUUCGCAUCGGUAGACGAGCACGUAAGCGCUGCAGCUGCCCUUACACAGUUUCAUGAAGGUGGCCUUUUUAUUUCGUCGUCUCGACCAACAUGGGAGUUUAGGGCUCCAGACGCCCAGUUUAUGCGGGGCCGGAAUCCUAGUGACGUGCCAGAUGCUGUAACUACGGAUGUUAUUCAAGAAGUUAUCCGUGAAGAGAAGCCUAAACCCGUGAAGAGAAAGCUCUCCAUUUUGGAAUAUAGACAACGCAAGCAAAUUGCGUUUAGUGACUGCAUAGAUGCGCCGACAAAAGAAGAACCGAACGGAAAUGAAACUUCAACGCUCAAGGUACAGCGAGACUCGAUGGUUGAGGAGAAUUCCGAUUCUAACCCAGCCAUGUUAACGAGGACCAAAGAUCCGCCGAUUCUCGCGGCGGAUGAUUCUCACUCAAAGUCCGAGAGCACUGCGGAUGAUUCCAACACAAAUUCGUCUUAUGAAGCAGACGAAGAAACACCCACAUCUAUCUAAGAAAAAGAAGGGAAAAAAUGAAAAAUUAAAAAGAUGGAAUUGCGAUGGAGAAGCGACAACUACACAAGCCACAAAGCACUUGGAGGGUUGGGAUUUCCGUUUAUCAUUUCACACUUGUCUUCUGAAAAAAAGAAAGGAGAGUUUUGAGCACCGUCGGGACCGGCUGCAAAAUCUUUCGCCCUCUCCCCAAUUCACUUUGCGCCUUUUCCUUUCAUUUCAUCUCUCACGCUUUGUCUCUAGACACUCACAAACGAUUCGUUAUCGAAAACGAAAAGAAAACAAUUGAAAACCAGAGCCCCUUUACGAGUUACCUUUUUUGAUCUCCGAUUUUCCCUCUUUUUUUUUUUUUUUUCCUUUCUUAUUUUUCCCUUUUUUCGUCAUUCAGUUUGUACCGUGUUUUCUUUUUUCUACCAACCCUGCGUUCCUUCUUUCUCUCUGUCUGUUCUUCGCGUACACCAGACACUAUAUUAUUAUUAUUCCUCUCUUUUGUUCAUGAUAAUUUGGCCGGCUUUAUUAUCGCUUUGUUUUUCACGCCUUUCUCGUGGGCUGCGUGAGUGUUCUAUAUUGUAUCGGUGGGGGUUUUUUCUUUGAAUGUUUGAUUUACGCGUACACGGCUGGAGUAGCGCCUCCGAUUGACCUGUUUUUCUCUGCUGACCUUAAAGUAAAAAGAAGAAAAAAAGGGGGGAGUUAAGAAAUAUGUGAAAACGAAGUGACUUUUGAGAUGCAUCCUACACAUACUAUAUUAAACACUGAAAAAUCCGCCAUGCUCUAUACAUGUAUAUUUUUGUCGUCUCGGAAGGUGGUGGGCGGAAAAGAAACACGUAUGAUUGGUUCAACUGUACCUGCGAUAUUACUAAGGCGUGUUGUGUUGGUUUGUUUUGUUCCCUUGCCUCUUCUUUUGUUUUUGUUUUCGUUUUUUUUUUUUUUCUUCGUUUUUUUUUUUUAUAUUUUUGUCGCGAAUGCCCACUUUUCUUGUCGUUUACCGAAAAUAUUGUAUUUCUUUUUUGUCCCAUCUUUCACGCGGGAAAGAUUCGGAUAGUAUUUUUGUUUUGUCGAAUGUCGUUCUUCCGAUUCUUUCCGUUUUCCCUUUCCCUUGUUUUCUUUGAAUACCAGACUAUAAAACAAAAAUACAGAAAUAUGGGAAAUGGUUAAA
RNAcentral lists this unclassified non-coding RNA (6055 nucleotides) under Daphnia magna. Its description in RNAcentral is "inactive histone-lysine N-methyltransferase 2E, transcript variant X3". The record is from RNAcentral. Lineage: Eukaryota; Metazoa; Arthropoda; Branchiopoda; Diplostraca; Daphniidae.